Long non-coding RNA from Cynoglossus semilaevis (tongue sole), 2072 nucleotides. RefSeq lists it as uncharacterized. The transcript has 2 exons. The record is from RefSeq and is a predicted model, not a curated record. Lineage: Eukaryota; Metazoa; Chordata; Actinopteri; Pleuronectiformes; Cynoglossidae.
CAAAAAACUGGACAAGAACAACAUCGCACACGUCGUACAGGAACCGAGACCAGGACCAGAGCGGACAGAUCUAAAAUGGAGGGAAACUGAGACAACACAUUCAGGACAACCAAAGAGCACACAGUUAUACCUCAAAAACUCUGGGCUGUUUUUAAAUACGUUUUUUUCUUUUUUCUAAUUUUUUAGGUUCAACCUUCUGGCAUUAACACACCAAAAAAAAAUGAGUUAAAAGAAAGUGGUUAAAUAAUUUCACAAUACGGCGGGUCCUCGGUUUAUGACGUCCUCAACCUACGGCGUCUCGCUGUUACGACGCCACAACCCCUACAUAAACGUUUAUAUUUUUUGCCCGUUGUUUAUGGCUCCCAAGCCCGGUUUUGUCAGACCAAAUUGUGGAGGUCUUCAUUGCUGUGGGCUGUGACUAACUCCAUGUAAAAGUUUCCUGGGCAACAGGUUCCGAUUUCGUACAUAUUUCGCGAUAUGUAAAAUGUAAUUAUAUGUUCUUUACUAGGGUGAAAAAAUUUGAAUUAUGUCGCCGUCGGGAACCGAACCCCAACAAAAGCCGUGAGAGUUUGCUGCGUCGCUGAACACCUUAAUUCAUCUUCUCAUCCUAUGUUUUUCUCUUUCCUCCCCCUUUUACUUUACCUUCCGUCUCUCCCUGCAGGUUCCACCUCCUGUCAGCUCUCUCCUCUAAAUGGCAGUGCUUACCCUCUCAUAUAAGCCAGCACGGCUGCUGCCGCCGCUGCUGCCGCUGCUGCCGCCGCUGUUAAAAGCAUGUCAUUUUCCUGCUGCUAAUGUCAAGUGGGAACAGAUCAGAGCAGGCAGGAGUGUCGGAUAAUAACGCAGCCUCCUCUCCUGAUGCUGCUGCUGCUGCUAACCCUGUCCUCCGUCUUCUGCUCAUCCUCUGUGACCUUCGCUGCUGCUAAACGCUGGGUAAUCAUCUUCUAAGGGCGACCGUGUUCUACUGGCUUUUAAUUGCGUCUCUCAGAAAAGCCCUCGAUUGUGACGAAGAGUAAGAGGUAGGAGGUUGGAUGGAUUGACAUUUUCCCUUCUCUUUAAGUCCGGCCAACUUGUUCUUGAACUACUUUAUGUGUCACUCACAUUUCGCUGUCAUAAUGUACGUACUUCACACUGUUAUAUCACCCGCUGGUGAUAUAAGAGCUAAAGCGCGGCUUUUAGUUUCUGAACCACGCACUCAAGAAGUCAACGUUAGGGCCCGAAAAACAGCAAGAGGUCAGGACGAAAACAACAUCCACAGAUUGAUGGCUGCAUUGGCAUCGUUUAUGAAGUGUAGAGCAGGGGUUCUCAACCCCUGGUCCCUGGCCCGGUACUGGUCCAUAGGUCAUAUGGUCUCGGGCCACAACAACAACAACAAAAAAAUAAAUAAUUUUAAAAAAAGUUUUCAUUUACUUUCUUCACUUGAAGACAAUCCAGAAGUUUUUCAAAAUAAUACGUCUUUCAGAUUCCACUGCUAACAAAAUGAAGUCUAACAUAUGUUUUAUUUUGAAAAUUCACCGCCACUACUGCCUGGUAGUGGCAUACCGGUCGUUGAUACAAAAUAGGUUGAGGACAGAGGACUGAAAAAUAUAACAGAGGACUCAUACUCACCAGAGUACAGCUAGCUCAUUAAUCGAAGACAGAAACAAAGUGGCCUGAGUGACGUUUGUUAUUUGAUAGACAUACAACGCACAUCCGAAAAACACCGACUCCUAACUUCUGAAGUUUUUCUGUUUCUUUCCCAUGAUCUACUAUAUAAGUUGAAGUUCUUGAAGUUUUUUUAACCAAUAGCCGAGUUAUGAUAAAAAUGUUUCCCAUAAACUGCACUCAGUCACGUCCUUUGUCCAGACUGAAAUGAAUAAAAAUGUAAUAAAAUCAGGGUAAAGGAAAUGAAUCAAACUAAAUGUUCUAACUAGAAAAAAAAUGUAGUCAUGAGAAGAAGAUGAUCAAAAUCAUUUGUUUGGCCAUGAAAAGCCAGAGGCUGGGCCUUGAACAUCUUACAACUUUCAGAUUAACCUUACGUUUUUUAAAAAGAUACCUGUCCAUUUUUGGUGGUAUUGAGAAAAGAAGCCCAAAUU